RNAcentral lists this ribosomal RNA (497 nucleotides) under uncultured bacterium. RNAcentral describes it as "partial 16S ribosomal RNA". It matches the Rfam family "Bacterial small subunit ribosomal RNA", at positions 28 to 507 of the family's 1533-position model. The record is from RNAcentral.
GAUGAACGCUGGCGGCGUGCCUAAUACAUGCAAGUCGAGCGAACGGACGAGAAGCUUGCUUCUCUGAUGUUAGCGGCGGACGGGUGAGUAACACGUGGAUAACCUACCUAUAAGACUGGGAUAACUUCGGGAAACCGGAGCUAAUACCGGAUAAUAUUUUGAACCGCAUGGUUCAAACGUGAAAGACGGUCUUGCUGUCACUUAUAGAUGGAUCCGCGCUGCAUUAGCUAGUUGGUAAGGUAACGGCUUACCAAGGCAACGAUGCAUAGCCGACCUGAGAGGGUGAUCGGCCACACUGGAACUGAGACACGGUCCAGGCUCCUACGGGAGGCAGCAGUAGGGAAUCUUCCGCAAUGGGCGAAAGCCUGACGGAGCAACGCCGCGUGAGUGAUGAAGGUCUUCGGAUCGUAAAACUCUGUUAUUAGGGAAGAACAUAUGUGUAAGUAACUGUGCACAUCUUGACGGUACCUAAUCAGAAAGCCACGGCUAACUACGUG